Long non-coding RNA from Drosophila yakuba, 1287 nucleotides. RefSeq lists it as uncharacterized. The record is from RefSeq and is a predicted model, not a curated record. The transcript is spliced from 2 exons. NCBI's taxonomy places the organism in Eukaryota, Metazoa, Arthropoda, Insecta, Diptera, Drosophilidae.
UCGUUUUGUACAAGAACUUUCAGUCGCCUUGCCUUCGUUUACUUCUAAUCAGUUGUCACUGCGGGCUUUUCUCUUAUCGUUGUUUGUUUUGCUUUUCAUACAACACCUUUGCUAAACUAGCAAUUGGCACAGUUGUUGUUGUUGUUGCUGGCACUAUUAUUUUUAUUGGGCCUCUGGCUUUGUUUAAACAAUUGUCUGAUGGUUACGAACGACUGCUGCGUCCGUUCUCUCGAAACGUUGGAUGAGUUCUGUGCGAUAGCGACAGUUUUUCGACUUGAAUAUGCCUCCGCCUCCGUUUCGCUCUGCCCUUUCUCCCUCUCCGGCUCUCCGUCGCUCCCGCUCUCUUUCCACUUUUCGCUGUCCACGCGUUGGCUACGUGAGCAGAAACGACGAAGUAGAUGGCACAACAACAAAGGCGGAGGCGAGGCGAGGCAUAAAGCACAGCAACAACAACUGGUUUUACAGCGCAGCAUAAAAAAGGGUACAGUGAACCCUCGAAUGUCGCCCAUACUACAGUCUAUACACAUUUGCCAAGAGUUUAUGAAAUAAAUGAAGACUAUCAAAUCACUUCUAUUUCCAUCUGAAGAAGCACCACUGUGGCCUCAGAGUCAAAACAAAAACAAAACAGAAAACAGCCGAUGCGCCGGUUCAUGGAGCGUGAGAGAGGAGGAAGCGGAGAGCCAGAGAGUUUCGCCGGCGAGAGAGUGAGCGCAGGGCACCCUGUAUCUGUAUCUGAAUCUGAAGCUCUAUGUGUAUGCGAUGGAUACAGGUUUUCGUUCAGUGUGCGUACGUGCGUUUAUUUUAUCGUUUUGUUUUUGUACGCAUUUUCUACAAAUGUUGUUUUGAUCCGCAUUGAAGUUCACACACCCACAAGGCAUCGAUCAUAGGGCGAAAACAGAUGUAACAGUAACCGAGCAUAAAAAAAGAGGCAAAACAAAACAACAUGUGAUUUUCGGCACGUAGGCCAUCCGAAGGAGAGCCGAAAAUGGAGAAACGUGGUGGAAAAACUUCAAAACAAAGAGAGUGGAUUAAGAAGAGAGAGAGAGAGAGAAAAUCGUGUUAAUGCUUAAAUAAGCCUAUAAAAAAUAUUACACAAAGAUAAAACUUCACAAAGAAAGAUACACUUGAAAAUUUGUGACAACAAAGUGACAAAACAAAAAGUGACAACAAAAACUGUUCAGUCCAAAAACAAUGACAAACAAGGCUUAAAUUGGAACUUGAACGAUAUAGUUCUGACCUUAAAUCAUUAUCAACCCAUAUAUCAUAUCAGAAGACCUUUAUGGCUUC